This 440-nucleotide ribosomal RNA is filed under the name uncultured bacterium. Its description in RNAcentral is "partial 16S ribosomal RNA". It matches the Rfam family "Bacterial small subunit ribosomal RNA", at positions 338 to 795 of the family's 1533-position model. The record is from RNAcentral.
CCUACGGGUGGCAGCAGUGGGGAAUAUUGCACAAUGGGGGAAACCCUGAUGCAGCAACGCCGCGUGAGUGAAGAAGUAAUUCGUUAUGUAAAGCUCUAUCAGCAGGGAAGAAAAUGACGGUAUCUGAGUAAGAAGCCCCGGCCAACUACGUGCCAGCAGCCGCGGUAAUACGUAGGGGGCAAGCGGUAUCCGGAUUUACUGGGUGGAAAGGGAGCGUAGACGGCAGUGCAAGUCUGGAGUGAAAGGCGGGGGCUCAACCCCCGGACUGCUCUGGAAACUGUACGGCUGGAGUGCAGGAGAGGUAAGUGGAAUUCCUAGUGUAGCGGUGAAAUGCGUAGAUAUUAGGAGGAACACCAGUGGCGAAGGCGGCUUACUGGACUGUAACUGACGUUGAGGCUCGAAAGCGUGGGGAGCAAACAGGAUUAGAUACCCGGGUAGUC